GUCCUAGCCGUAAACGAUGGAUACUUGAUGUUAUAAUUUUAAAAUUUAUAGUAUCGAAGCUAACGCGUUAAGUAUCCCGCCUGGGAAGUAUGCUCGCAAGAGUGAAACUCAAAAGGAAUUGACGGGGGGCCCGCACAAGCGGUGGAGCAUGUGGUUUAAUUCGAAGCAACGCGAAGAACCUUACCAAGUCUUGACAUCCCAUUGCCGGGAGGGCAACGCCUCCUUUCCUUCGGGACGAUGGAGACAGGUGGUGCAUGGUUGUCGU
Molecule: ribosomal RNA, 265 nt
Filed under: uncultured bacterium
Lineage: Bacteria
Description: partial 16S ribosomal RNA
Rfam family: Bacterial small subunit ribosomal RNA
Source: RNAcentral